CCCUUCAAAGAAAAUUCCUUCUAAUCUUAUCUACCUUUCGAAUUACUCCAACGGAAGCACUAAAACUAGACAUGUAAUAAACGGAGAGACAUGGGACAACGGAAUUAAUCAAAGUAACUCGCCCCUAAAACAAAGAAUAUUUCUUUUUCACAUCGCUAAUUUCUUCUAAAUUUUUUCCAGCAUAGGAUCCUAUAUCACCACUCUAUUUGGAUUGACACCAAUAGGAAUACCCAUGUACCUAUAAGGAAAAUUACCCCUAGUACACCCAAUCAAAUGUCCUCAAUUAAACGAUCAUCUCCACUACAGGAAACCAGAGAAAGCUUCCUACAAUUCAACUUCAAACCAGACAUUAACUCAAAACAUUUCAUAAUCUUUCUAACAUUUUUAAUAGCCUCAACAUCAGCCUUCAGAAAAAGAAUGGUGUCAUCUAUAAACUGCAAAUGAGAAAUGGUGAAAGCAUUAGAAGAAAAGGCAUACGUUUAAUUAAAUUGUUGUUUUCCAUUUCCACUAACAGUAAAUGCAAAGCUUCUUUACAAGAAAAAACAAAAGGGGGAUAAUGAAUCUCCUCGACGUAAUUCCCUUUCCAUAUGAAACUGAUUGUAAGAGAACCAUUAACUAGCACUGCUACCCACAAUGUUGAAACACACUAUUGAGUCCAUUUUUCUAAAUCCUCCCAAAAUCGAUCAUCUCCAUUAGCCGAUCUAGGAACAUCCACGAUACACUAUCAUAUGCUUUCUCAAAAUCCAGUUUUGAUAUAAUUCCUUCCAUCCCACACUUUUUCCUAUUUUAAGAAAUGAAUCACCUUAUUUUCCAAGAGUACACCAUCCAUAAUUUACCCGCUCGCCACAACAGCAUAGCGCUUAUCUUUAAUCAACUUACCAAUCACCCCUCUUAAUAUUCUUGACAAGAUCUUCACGAAAAUCUUAUAGGAGUUAAUAAGAGAGACGAGCUAGUAAUUAUUCAUUAACACUGGAUUGUCGAGUUUAGGAACUAAA
Molecule: long non-coding RNA, 995 nt
Filed under: Durio zibethinus
Lineage: Eukaryota; Viridiplantae; Streptophyta; Magnoliopsida; Malvales; Malvaceae
Description: long non-coding RNA (DZIB_LNC002448)
Source: RNAcentral